GCCGAUGUAGCUCAGCUGGUAGAGCAACGCAUUCGUAAUGCGUAGGUCUGCGGUUCAAGUCCGCAUCUCGGCU
This 73-nucleotide transfer RNA is filed under the name Flavobacteriales bacterium. RNAcentral describes it as "tRNA-Thr". It matches the Rfam family "tRNA". From Rfam's summary of the family: Transfer RNA (tRNA) molecules are approximately 80 nucleotides in length. The record is from RNAcentral. Lineage: Bacteria; Pseudomonadati; Bacteroidota; Flavobacteriia; Flavobacteriales.